ACGGAGAAAAACCUUCUAGAGUAAGGCUUGUUGGUUGUAAGAUUCUUUGUAGCCUUCUCUCAGCCUACACAAAUAAUAGCUAGUUCUUCACUAUUAAAACAUCUCCAAAAGUUUGCUAUCUCUACCUGGCAUCAAUAAAUUUUUGAUAAAACAUGAAAAAACAUUCACCAACAAUUUGGCAUCUCAACUUGGUAAAAAUAGGAAGUUGGCAUAUUUCGGCCUUGUUUAGAGCAUCUCCAACAAUUUGCUAAAAAACUUUUGCCAAAUCUUAUGUUUUGACAAGUUGCUAAAAGAUUUGGCAAGUAAAAUAAUUUGUCAUCUCCAACAAGUUGCCAAUUGAACUUGCCAAAUUAUAAAAAAAAACAGGCCCACCACUAAACUACCAACUACCAAAUUGAUGGAUCCAUCCUUCCUCCGCGCCCUUUGUCUGCUCGCAAGGGUUCUGUUGUCCGUCGCGCCGCCGUGUCGUACAGCGCACGGCCAGCCACCUCUUCCUUCCACGGUGUACAAGUGACCAAGCCAGCCAUCUCCAAGAUCUCCUCCUCCACGAUCAGCUAUCAGUACCAGCACAUGUCAUCGCUAUCGAGCAGCACCACAGCACCUCUGCAGCAACAAGUAGGCCGGCAGGUUUCGAGGCAACACAAACUUUUCUGUCAAUUCCUGCUGGUGACAAGACAGGGAGCAGCUCAACAUGGGCCUUGUUUAGUUCCGAAAAGUGAAAAGUUUUCGGUACUGUAGCACUUUCGUUUGUUUGUGAAAAAUAUUAUCUAAUCAUAGACUAACUAGGAUUAAAAGAUUCGUCUCGUGAUUUACAGCUAAACUGUAUAAUUAGUUUUUGUUUUCGUCUAUAUUUAAUGUUUCAUGCAUGUGCCACAAGAUUCGAUGUGACGGAAAAUCUUGAAAAUUUUUUGAUUUUCAGGGUGAACUAAACAAGGCCAUAGAAUAUGCAAGCGAAUCUUGGCAGCAGCUCGGCAGGGAGUACGAGCCAGAACUUUCACCUGGCACGCGGGAAGGGAAGCGAAGACGAGGAAUCACACGAUGGCAAGCGCGUCCGCGCGGCGGAAAUCUACACGCGCGGCUGAGAAAAUUGGCAAGUGAAACAAUUUGACAAGUGGGAAUACUAAACUGUUGGAGCAAAUUUUUACCUCUUUUGCUAAAUUUUUUUGGGAUGACAAGUGCUUUAGCAAACUGUUAGAGAUGCUCUUACAUGCAUUUUUUUUUGAUUUUGACACUAUAGCACUUUCGUUUGUAUUUGACAAACACUAUCCAAUCAUAGAAUAACUAGGUUUAAAAGAUUCGUCUCACGGUUUAUAGGUAAAUUGUACAAUUAGUUAUUUUUUUAUCUAUAUUUAAUGCUCCUUGUACGUACCGCAAGAUUCGAUGUGAUGGAAAAUUUUGUAAACUUUUAAAUUUUAACAUGCCCAAAGUUCUCCCAGCCUAUAAAGAUACACGCGCCUAUCGGACUUGGCAUCGGAGGUUGGACGCAACCGCCUCUUCCCACGCCCCGCGCGUCCUCUUCGCGCGCUCCUUUGGACAGCUGCUGCAUCUGCUCUAAUUGCACAGCUCGUCCUCCUGCUGCUGUGGCCUUGUUUAGUUCACACUAAAAACCAAAAACUUUUCAAAAUUUUCUGUUAUAUCGAAUUUUACGUCACAUACAUAGAAUAUUAAAUAUAGAUGAGAACUAAAACUAAUAGCACAAUUUGUCUGUAAAUUACGAGACGAAUCUUUUAAACCUAGUUACUUUAUGAUUAGAUAAUGUUUGUCAAGUAAAAACGAAAAUAUUAUAGUGUCAAAAUCCAAAAACUUUUUGAAUCUAAAUAAGGCCCGCGUUGAAAAUGACAUAGAAUUGAUUGUACUGUUGCUGGGCACUGCUGCUCACUGCACGACUCCUCGUUCUGUUAAUGAUUUUGUGAAAAUUGAUUACACCGCUAUUGAGCACUGCUGAUUGCUGAGCACUGCCGCUCUCAAAUGAUUUUGUGGAAACAGUACAUUUGAAAUAAAAUUAUUUUGUGGGUCUUUUUUUUUAAAUUUUGCCAAUUCAAAAUUGCCAAAUUCUUAGAAAUAAGAUGAUCUUUUACUUGGCAUAUAUUUUUAGGAGUUGGCAAAUCAUAUCACAGAGUUUCUUCGAUCUUGUGUCGAAGCCGGCUAUAAGCUUGCAGCCUUCUUCUUAUUUUUCUCUUUUUUUUUCUUUUUUGUUCUCUUUUUCCUCGUUUUUGUCCUCCAUUUCAGUAUUUAGCCAAUUUACAAACUGUUAUUAUACUUGCUCUUUUAUCUCCUACUCCCUCCGUCCCUGAAAGCUGCAAUUUCUAGAGUUUUUCUAAGUCAAUUUUUUACAACUUUGACCAAAUUUAUAGAAAAAAAUGCUAAGAUUUAUAGUACCAAAUUAAUACCAUUAAAUUUAUUAUAGAAUAUAUUUUUGAAAGAUACUUAUUUUAUGUUAUAGAUAUUGAUACUCUUUUCUAUAAAGUUGGUCAAAGUUAGAAAAGUUUGACUCACAUGGAUUCUAGGAGUUGAAGCUUUUGGGGACGGACCACUAAAGUCCUCCGAGCUCCCCAAUUGCGGCGUGGGUAGGUAGGGACGGCGCCUCAGGGAGAUUGUUUGCUGAAGCCUGAAGCACGCCAAGUGAAGUGGCAUGUGUAUAUAUAGAUGAACCACUCCCACGCUAACCGCACGCUCAACGCUCAGUCCAACGCCAAAGCGCCUCCGUGAACCGAGCAACUCAAACCAUGGACGUGCCGCUGCCGCUGCUGCUGGGCUCCCUGGCCGUGUCCGUCGUCGUAUGGUGCCUCCUGCUCCGGCGCGGUGGGGACGGGAAGGGGAAGGGGAAGCGGCCUAUGCCGCCCGGUCCAAGGGGCUGGCCGGUGCUGGGCAACCUGCCGCAGUUGGGCUCUCAUCCGCACCACACCAUGUGCGCGCUUGCGAAAAAGUACGGCCCGCUGUUCCGGCUCCGGUUCGGCAGCGCCGAGGUGGUGGUGGCCGCGUCGGCGCGUGUGGCGGCGCAGUUCCUGCGCACCCACGACGCCAACUUCAGCAACCGCCCUCCAAACUCCGGAGCCGAGCACGUGGCGUACAACUACCAGGACAUGGCAUUCGCGCCCUACGGCUCCCGGUGGCGCGCGCUGCGGAAGCUGUGCGCGCUCCACCUCUUCUCCGCCAAGGCCCUGGACGACCUCCGCAGCAUCAGGGAGGGCGAGGUGGCGCUCCUGGUCAGAGAGCUCUCCCGGCACCAGCACCAGCACGCCGGCGUGCCGCUCGGCCAGGUGGCCAACGUCUGCGCGACCAACACGCUGGCCCGGGCCACGGUGGGGCGGCGCGUGUUCGCCGUGGACGGAGGGGAGGAAGCCAGGGAGUUCAAGGACAUGGUGGUGGAGCUGAUGCAGCUCGCCGGGGUCUUCAACGUCGGCGACUUCGUGCCAGCGCUGGCGCGCCUCGACCUGCAGGGCGUGGUCGGCAAGAUGAAGCGGCUGCACCGCAGGUACGACGACAUGAUGAACGGGAUCAUCAGGGAGCGGAAGGCCGCCGAGGAAGGCAAGGACCUGCUCAGCGUGCUGCUGGCCAGGACGCGGGAACAGCAAUCGAUCGCGGACGGCGAGGACAGCAGGAUCACCGAGACUGAGAUCAAAGCACUCCUCCUCGUAAGUUAUUCUACCCUCUUGCUUUCCCGUGGCCCGUGCACAACAACUGCUCUGAUAUGAUGUGGCCGAAUGGACACGGCUACCGGCAGUCCGGCACUGACGGGGACAUGUCUCAUACUUUUGUUGCAAAAAAUUGAUCCCGACUUGUUGGAGUCUUGAGUAUAUUCAACUCUUGUGUUUCACAUGGAUGCAUGCACUUUCUGUGGACAUGUCGUGAUAACAACAGAACCUCUUCACGGCGGGGACGGACACGACGUCCAGCACGGUGGAGUGGGCGCUGGCCGAGCUGAUCCGGCACCCGGACGUGCUGAAGAAGGCCCAGGAGGAGCUGGACGCCGUCGUCGGCCGCAACCGCCUCGUCUCCGAGUUGGACCUCCCGCGCCUCACGUACCUGACGGCGGUGAUCAAGGAGACGUUCCGGAUGCACCCGUCCACGCCGCUGUCGCUGCCCCGCAUCGCCGCCGAGGAGUGCGAGGUGGACGGGUUCCGCAUCCCCGCCGGCACCACGCUGCUGGUGAACGUGUGGGCGAUCGCCCGCGACCCGGAGGCGUGGCCCGAGCCGCUCCAGUUCCGCCCCGACCGCUUCCUCCCGGGAGGCUCGCACGCGGGCGUCGACGUCAAAGGGAGCGACUUCGAGCUCAUCCCGUUCGGCGCCGGCCGCAGGAUCUGCGCAGGGCUUAGCUGGGGCCUGCGCAUGGUCACGCUCAUGACGGCCACGCUGGUGCACGCCCUGGACUGGGACCUCGCCGACGGCAUGACCGCGGACAAGCUAGACAUGGAGGAGGCAUACGGGCUCACCCUGCAGCGCGCCGUGCCGUUGAAGGUCCGCCCAGCACCCAGACUGCUGCCGUCUGCAUACGCAGCGGAGUAGGGGAAAAAAAAACGGAUUCUCGCUGGCUAUCCCGUAUCCAUGUCCGUCCGUACGCAUCGAAAUCCCGUUCGCUUUAGCUUAUUUAGCGUAUCUGCCGGUCACUUUUAUCUCCUACAACUAAAAAGACUAAAACGUGGACAAUCUUUUGGUGCGACAAUCCUCCGUCGCGGUUUCGUCCUGCCAUCCUGCGACCCGCAUCCCGCACGCCUAUCUCUUCCGAACAAAAAAAGGAAACAAAAUCGCUUUGCUCCCAAUUCCUCCUCGCCGCCCCCUCCGGUCCUCCCAAAUCCUCCUCCAUGCAGAGCUCCCCGUCGCAGAUCCUCCUCGGCCGCGCAAAUCCUCCUCGACGCAGUCUUUCUGGGAUCGACGUGCUUACCUUCCAUUCCUUCACGAAUUCACCGGCGACGAAGGCUGCGAUGGCCUGGACUUCGACCUGCCAGUGGAUUUCUCCAUCGACGACUUCCUCCUCCGCUCCCCCGACCGCGGGGACGACGGCGACGACUCCGGCGAGGGCUCCGCCGCCGGAUCCGGCCCCACCGCGUCCUCCUCGGCCUCCCCUGCCACCUCCGGCGCAAACUCCGCCGUGGCCAAUGCCGGCGUCCACGAGGUGAAGCAUGAGGACUCGGACGAGGGGAGGAGCGGCGCCGCCCCGAACUGGAGCCUCAAGCGGAAGCAGGCGAGUCCCAGAGGAGCGAUCUCGGACGUUACAGUGUUCUCCAAGGUAUUUUAGAUCUUACAACUCUUAUCAAAAGAUGGGCUAACAAAUUUCCCAAAAAAAGUUAGCUAGGGUAACAAUCAGUUCGCACUCCAUGUGUUGGUUUAUGCAGGUGGAUUUUUUCAUGGUGUUCACAGUCUCACAUUUGGCGUUGAUCUAAUGAAAAUUCGGUUGAUGGGCAUACUUCAGGUACCCAAUUGUUUUUAUUGUUCUUUCAGAUCUUUCAGAACUAAUAAUUGACACAUUCAGUACUGGAAAAGGUGUAAGUCAUCUAGAACGGCAUAUGAUGGUUCUAUGUUGCAGAGGAUUGCAAUAGCCUAUCUUCUGGCUGCAAUAUGUGAAAUCUGGCUCAAGGGAGAUGAUGAUGUAGAUUCUGGAUAUGGUUUGCUAAGGAGAUACCGCUACCAAUUGUGAGUUCAGAUCAAAAUUAUCCUCACGAGCGAUCAGUAGUUACGCUGAGUUAUGCAUUUACUGUUCAAGAACUAUAGAAUUUGAAUAAUUGACCUGGUACUGGUAUCUCAUAUUUAUGGCUUAUGGUUCGUUGUUGUCGUGCUAGAUUUGUAGGACUGGUCCUCUCUAUAGCCUAUACUAUUCUUUUGUACGGUAUAUACGUUCCAGACUGGGAGUACAAGAUAUCAGGCCCUGGUUCCACAGAGAAAUCAUUCUCUGUAAGUGCAAAGUGCCUCUGCAUUUUCUUUAUCUUGUUAGAAGUUCACUAUACAAGAAGAAGCGCUGAAGUUCAUGCUACAUUUGAAUGUGUCAGGUGAAAUGUGGAGUAAGAGGAGACACCGGACUAGCUUGCAAUGCAGUUGGUUGACCGUACAAUUCUAGGGAUCGAUCACCUCUACAGACAGCCAGUUUAUGCGCGCACAAAGGUUCGAUAUGAAGUGUAAAGUCUCAGUUUUCUGCUCCCUUGUCACAAAACUCAAUAAAAAAUUUUGGCUAACAUGCAGGAAUGUAGUAUAAAUUAUCCAGAGAAUGGACCUCUUCCACCCGUGCUCCAUCAUGGUGCCAGGCACCAUUUGAUCCUGAAGGCCUCCUCAGGUCAGUGCUUCACAAAAUCACAGCUCGUCAGUGACCAUAAGCUUCUCUUGCAAUGCAGGUUCCUCCAACUUAGUGGUAGUUCUUAAUGUCCUUCAUUCAUGUUUNNNNNNNNNNNNNNNNNNNNNNNNNNNNNNNNNNNNNNNNNNNNNNNNNNNNNNNNNNNNNNNNNNNNNNNNNNNNNNNNNNNNNNNNNNNNNNNNNNNNCUAACCAACUAAGCUAGAGGCCUUUUUAGACACAUAUAUGAAGUAUUAAAUAUAGAUUAUUUAAGAAACUAAGCAUAAAGCUAGAGGAUACUUUGUGAAAUGAUUUUUUAAAGUCUAAUUGGUCCAUAAUUAAAUACUAAUUGCUAUAAAUUUUAGUUCUUAUCACAUCAAAUGUUCUUAUCCGUCCCUGAAAGCUGCAAUUUCUAGAGUUUUUCUAAGUCAAUUUUUUACAACUUUGACCAAAUUUAUAGAAAAAAAUGCUAAGAUUUAUAGUACCAAAUUAAUACCAUUAAAUUUAUUAUAGAAUAUAUUUUUGAAAGAUACUUAUUUUAUGUUAUAGAUAUUGAUACUCUUUUCUAUAAAGUUGGUCAAAGUUAGAAAAGUUUGACUCACAUGGAUUCUAGGAGUUGAAGCUUUUGGGGACGGACCAGUAAAGUCCUCCGAGCUCCCCAAUUGCGGCGUGGGUAGGUAGGGACGGCGCCUCAGGGAGAUUGUUUGCUGAAGCC
RNAcentral lists this long non-coding RNA (6975 nucleotides) under Sorghum bicolor (sorghum). Its description in RNAcentral is "long non-coding RNA (SBIC_LNC007285)". The record is from RNAcentral. Lineage: Eukaryota; Viridiplantae; Streptophyta; Magnoliopsida; Poales; Poaceae.